UACGUAGGGACCGAGCGUUGUCCGGAUUCAUUGGGCGUAAAGAGCUCGUAGGCGGCUGUUCAAGUCGAACGUGAAAACUCGGAGCUCAACUCCGAGCCUGCGUUCGAUACUGGACGGCUAGAGUCUGGUAGGGGGAUCUGGAAUUCCUGGUGUAGCGGUGGAAUGCGCAGAUAUCAGGAGGAACACCGAUGGCGAAGGCAGCUCGCUGGGACGGUACUGACGCUGAGACGCGAAAGCGUGGGGAGCGAACAGG
Molecule: ribosomal RNA, 253 nt
Filed under: uncultured bacterium
Lineage: Bacteria
Description: partial 16S ribosomal RNA
Rfam family: Bacterial small subunit ribosomal RNA
Source: RNAcentral